UGGGUUGCCCCCCCCCCCUCCGUCCCCCCCCACGCGGGAGGACGCCGGGACGGGGGCGGACAAUGGCCUCCCGUGCGCCCCGCGCGCGGCCGGCCC
Molecule: ribosomal RNA, 96 nt
Filed under: Nelsonia campestris
Lineage: Eukaryota; Viridiplantae; Streptophyta; Magnoliopsida; Lamiales; Acanthaceae
Description: partial 5.8S ribosomal RNA
Source: RNAcentral